Molecule: ribosomal RNA, 107 nt
Filed under: Armillaria mexicana
Lineage: Eukaryota; Fungi; Basidiomycota; Agaricomycetes; Agaricales; Physalacriaceae
Source: RNAcentral
AUCCACGGCCAUAGGAUUUUGAAACUACCGCAUCCCGUCUGAUCUGCGCAGUCAACCAAAAUGCCGCCCAAUUAGUACCACGGUGGGGGACCACGCGGGAAUCCUGG